RNAcentral lists this ribosomal RNA (465 nucleotides) under uncultured bacterium. Its description in RNAcentral is "partial 16S ribosomal RNA". It matches the Rfam family "Bacterial small subunit ribosomal RNA", at positions 338 to 795 of the family's 1533-position model. The record is from RNAcentral.
CCUACGGGAGGCAGCCGUGGUGAAUAUUGCGCAAUGGGCGAAAGCCUGACGCAGCGACGCCGCGUGAGGGAUGAAGGUCUUCGGAUCGUCAACCUCUGUCAGUAGGGAAGAACGUCCACUGUCCUAAUCAUCAGUGAAUUGACGGUACCUGCAAAGGAAGCCCCGGCUAACUCCGUGCCAGCAGCCGCGGAAAUACGGAGGGUGCGAGCGUUAAUCGGAAUUACUGGGCGUAAAGCGCUCGUAGGCGGUAUUUCAAGUCAAGUGUGAAAUCCCCUCGCUCAACGUGGGAACUGCAUUUGAAACUGGAAAACUGGAGUGUAGGAGAGGAGAGUGGAAUUCCAGGUGUAGGAGUGAAAUCCGUAGAUAUAUGGAGGAACAUCAGUGGCGAAGGCGACUAUCUGGCACAUAACUGACGCUGAGGAGCGAAAGCGUGGGUAGCAAACAGGAUUAGAUACCCUGGUAGUC